Molecule: ribosomal RNA, 561 nt
Filed under: Triticum aestivum (bread wheat)
Lineage: Eukaryota; Viridiplantae; Streptophyta; Magnoliopsida; Poales; Poaceae
Description: partial small subunit ribosomal RNA
Source: RNAcentral
AUGGAGGAGGUGAGCGCCGAGGCCGCGGCCGUGGCGAGCGGCAUGGCGCCUGGCGCCGGAGCCGGAGGAGCAGAGGGCGCGACGAUGAAGGUGGUGGCGGCGGUGGACGCGAGCGAGGAGAGCCUGCACGCGCUGUCGUGGGCGCUCGACAACGUCGUCCGGCCCCACCCCGGCGCGUCCGUCGUCGUCGUCCACGUCCAGCAUCACGCCGACCACUUCGCCUACCCUGUCGCCGGGCACGGCCUACAGUACGUCCCGCCCACGGCGGUGGACUCCGUGAGGAAGACGCACGAGGAGAACUCCCGGCGAGUCGUGUCCGCCGCGCUCGAUGUCUGCAGGCAGAAACAGGCGAGCGCCACGGCGGCGGUGGUGGAGGGCGACGCCAAGGAGGCCAUCUGCCGCGCCGUGGAGGACAUGCACGCCGACCUCCUCGUCCUCGGCAGCCGCGGCCUGGGCAUGAUCAAGAGGGCGUUGCUGGGCAGCGUGAGCGACUACCUCGUCCACCACGCCUCCUGCCCCGUUCUCAUCGUGAAGCCGCCCAACAAAGCGCACCACAAGUGA